UGUGGGGGAUAACCAUUGGAAACGAUGGCUAAUACCGCAUGAUGCCUACGGGCCAAAGAGGGGGACCUUCGGGCCUCUCGCGUCAGGAUAUGCCUAGGUGGGAUUAGCUAGUUGGUGAGGUAAGGGCUCACCAAGGCGACGAUCCCUAGCUGGUCUGAGAGGAUGAUCAGCCACACUGGAACUGAGACACGGUCCAGACUCCUACGGGAGGCAGCAGUGGGGAAUAUUGCACAAUGGGCGCAAGCCUGAUGCAGCCAUGCCGCGUGUGUGAAGA
This 274-nucleotide ribosomal RNA is filed under the name Vibrio parahaemolyticus. Its description in RNAcentral is "partial 16S ribosomal RNA". It matches the Rfam family "Bacterial small subunit ribosomal RNA", at positions 135 to 411 of the family's 1533-position model. The record is from RNAcentral. Lineage: Bacteria; Pseudomonadati; Pseudomonadota; Gammaproteobacteria; Vibrionales; Vibrionaceae.